Molecule: long non-coding RNA, 273 nt
Filed under: Daucus carota (carrot)
Lineage: Eukaryota; Viridiplantae; Streptophyta; Magnoliopsida; Apiales; Apiaceae
Description: long non-coding RNA (DCAR_LNC003806)
Source: RNAcentral
UUAGGAUUUUUUUCACCUUUCCUUCUGCUAAUAACCAUUAUGUAUUUAGUUAUGUAAAAUGAAUUUCCACAUAACAUGUUAACAUUUUGGUUCUUUAAUCCAGCAUUAAGAACCAAGUCUAAGUAUAUCAGUGUAUAGAAGAAACCUGCAUAAAAAGAAUUCAUGUAUGACUCUCAAGUCUCACCUCAGUUUGUAUGUGAACUAAUUCAUGUUGUAAUUUCUUGCCUUUUUAUCAUAAUGUCUGGAGGAAGCAGGGCAUGGUUUCAAAUUUAC